GAUGAACGCUGGCGGCGUGCCUAAUACAUGCAAGUCGAACGAGGUCUUCGGACCUAGUGGCGAACGGGUGAGUAACACGUUGGUACCUACCCCGAAGUGGGGAAUAACUGCCCGAAAGGGUGGCUAAUACCGCAUAAUACCGCAAGGUUAAAGCAGUAAUGCGCUUCGGGAGGGGCCUGCGUCCCAUUAGCUAGUUGGUAGGGUAAUGGCCUACCAAGGCGACGAUGGGUAGCUGGAUCGAGAGGUUGACCAGCCACACUGGGACUGAGAUACGGCCCAGACUCCUACGGGAGGCAGCAGUAAGGAAUUUUCCACAAUGGACGAAAGUCUGAUGGAGCAACGCCGCGUGCAGGAUGACGGCCUUCGGGUUGUAAACUGCUUUUAUACGGGAAGAUUAUGACGGUACCGUAUGAAUAAGGACCGGCUAACUACGUGCCAGCAGCCGCGGUAA
Molecule: ribosomal RNA, 451 nt
Filed under: uncultured bacterium
Lineage: Bacteria
Description: partial 16S ribosomal RNA
Rfam family: Bacterial small subunit ribosomal RNA
Source: RNAcentral